This 253-nucleotide ribosomal RNA is filed under the name uncultured bacterium. RNAcentral describes it as "partial 16S ribosomal RNA". It matches the Rfam family "Bacterial small subunit ribosomal RNA", at positions 524 to 776 of the family's 1533-position model. The record is from RNAcentral.
UACGGAGGGUGCAAGCGUUAUCCGGAUUCACUGGGUUUAAAGGGUGCGUAGGCGGGCAGGUAAGUCAGUGGUGAAAUCUUCGAGCUUAACUCGGAAACUGCCGUUGAUACUAUCUGUCUUGAAUACCCGGGAGGUGAGCGGAAUAUGUCAUGUAGCGGUGAAAUGCUUAGAUAUGACAUAGAACACCAAUUGCGAAGGUAGCUCACUACAGGGUCAUUGACGCUGAGGCACGAAAGCGUGGGGAUCAAACAGG